Molecule: long non-coding RNA, 590 nt
Filed under: Phoenix dactylifera (date palm)
Lineage: Eukaryota; Viridiplantae; Streptophyta; Magnoliopsida; Arecales; Arecaceae
Description: long non-coding RNA (PDAC_LNC021085)
Source: RNAcentral
UUUGUUGGCAUUGGAUUUAAAACUUCAGAAAAUUUUAAAUUUUCAUUUCUAUUACCACCAAGGUUUAAAAACUCAUCUCUGAUUUGGUUUUUACUAGGUUUAUGGAGUUUUGGUUUUGGUGAUUUCAGUGGUUUUUGAAGUUCCGAUCCAAGUUUCAAGGUCUUGGUCAGAAAAAUAAAGAAAAUAUUAAAAAUACAAAAAUAGGAAAAAUUAUCACAUUAUUUUAGAGUAAUUUGUGUUGCACAAAUUCUUUAUUUAUGUAGUUUUGACAAUUUUAGAUUUAAAUUAACAUUGCAUAUAAAUCAAAAUUAAAUAUAUUGGUAUUUUGUAUUGUGCAUGAAUUUAGGAACAUAAAUAUAUUAUAUACUACUUGAGAUUUAAUUGUUCAGAAAGUCAUUAUCUUUCAUUUUCAGUAAAACUCACAAACACAUGGAAUUUGGACAUUUUGUCAUAUUUUUGUUGUUAAAUAGCUCUUAAAUUGAAUGCAUGUAGCUAUAUAAUGUUAUGUUUAGUUGUAUAAAAAAUUAUUUUUGUCAAAAUAUCAUAUAUCUAGUUAUUCAUAUUAGUCUUUAAAAAAAAAUACUAUGUUU